UCAAACUUGGUCAUUUAGAGGAAGUAAAAGUCGUAACAAGGUAACCGUAGGUGAACCUGCGGUUGGAUCAUUACAAAACUUGUUUUUUGAAUAGUUUCCUUUUAUCCGAAAUUGGGUGAAGGAGCUUUUCAAACAAACCUUGUGAACUUAUUAUCGUCUCUUGGUGGUUUUAUCGCCACCAGUAUUAUAUUUUAAACUUGUUUUUAUUAGUCUUAUAUUUUUUUUUUAUUUUCAAUAAAAAAACAACUUUUGACAACGGAUCUCUUGGCUCUCGCAUCGAUGAAGAACGCAGC
This 293-nucleotide unclassified non-coding RNA is filed under the name uncultured fungus. Its description in RNAcentral is "partial contains small subunit ribosomal RNA, internal transcribed spacer 1, and 5.8S ribosomal RNA". The stretch from base 1 to 73 matches the Rfam family "Eukaryotic small subunit ribosomal RNA", at positions 1759 to 1831 of the family's 1831-position model. Lineage: Eukaryota; Fungi. The record is from RNAcentral.